GCUGGCGGCAGGCCUAACACAUGCAAGUCGAGCGGUAGAGAGAAGCUUGCUUCUCUUGAGAGCGGCGGACGGGUGAGUAAAGCCUAGGAAUCUGCCUGGUAGUGGGGGAUAACGUUCGGAAACGGACGCUAAUACCGCAUACGUCCUACGGGAGAAAGCAGGGGACCUUCGGGCCUUGCGCUAUCAGAUGAGCCUAGGUCGGAUUAGCUAGUUGGUGAGGUAAUGGCUCACCAAGGCGACGAUCCGUAACUGGUCUGAGAGGAUGAUCAGUCACACUGGAACUGAGACACGGUCCAGACUCCUACGGGAGGCAGCAGUGGGGAAUAUUGGACAAUGGGCGAAAGCCUGAUCCAGCCAUGCCGCGUGUGUGAAGAAGGUCUUCGGAUUGUAAAGCACUUUAAGUUGGGAGGAAGGGCAUUAACCUAAUACGUUAGUGUUUUGACGUUACCGACAGAAUAAGCACCGGCUAACUCUGUGCCAGCAGCCGCGGUAAUACAGAGGGUGCAAGCGUUAAUCGGAAUUACUGGGCGUAAAGCGCGCGUAGGUGGUUUGUUAAGUUGGAUGUGAAAUCCCCGGGCUCAACCUGGGAACUGCAUUCAAAACUGACUGACUAGAGUAUGGUAGAGGGUGGUGGAAUUUCCUGUGUAGCGGUGAAAUGCGUAGAUAUAGGAAGGAACACCAGUGGCGAAGGCGACCACCUGGACUAAUACUGACACUGAGGUGCGAAAGCGUGGGGAGCAAACAGGAUUAGAUACCCUGGUAGUCCACGCCGUAACGAUGUCAACUAGCCGUUGGGAGCCUUGAGCUUUUAGU
Molecule: ribosomal RNA, 813 nt
Filed under: uncultured bacterium
Lineage: Bacteria
Description: bacterial SSU rRNA
Rfam family: Bacterial small subunit ribosomal RNA
Source: RNAcentral